Molecule: long non-coding RNA, 1230 nt
Organism: Myotis brandtii (Brandt's bat)
Lineage: Eukaryota; Metazoa; Chordata; Mammalia; Chiroptera; Vespertilionidae
Exons: 2
Source: RefSeq, a predicted model, not a curated record
GCAGAGGGCACGAGGACGUGAGUGGGGAGGAACGGGUGGGAGGGGGAGCUAGAGGACUUUCAUGGAGAGGUUACAAGGAAAGCAUCAGAAUGAGGGGGUAACGGGCAGGUUGAAGAUGAGGAGGCGAAAGGCAUCGUAUUAAGGGGGAAGGGGAGGAGGCGAGCAAGGGAGCGGGAAGGGGAGAAAGGGAGAGGGGAGCAGAUUAGGAGGGAAAGUGGGUAGCGAGGAUGGGGCCAGAAUGAGAGUAGGGAUUGAGGCAGGAAAGGGGCUGGCUGACCCAUCUGACUUUGGAAGAAACGGGAGCUGGGGGCUUUGAAGAACAGGCCCUGGGUGCGAGCAGCUUCUCUCCCCCAGCCCCACCAGGUCCAAGAUGCCCAGGAUCCAACACCGCCGUGGAAUGGGUGCCAGGAAUCCGCACGAGCCGGGCCGACGGGGUCCAGGCAUUUUCCAGUUUCUCAGUAAUUGGCUAACAACCAGUGAUAACAGAAGUUGUAUCAGGAAACAAAUGUAAACCCUUGCCUUUAUUCAGCGAAGUUUUGAGAGCAGAUACAAUGUUGCUUCAUUAAAAAUCGUUAAGACUCUUCUUUUAGGUUCUUUGCUUUUCCUGGAAAAUUAGACCAAUGGAUGUGACCUGCUCAGGCAGACACUGCUUGCAGCUGAAUCACAGGCCUUCAUUCUGCUUUCCUUUAGCUCAGAUAAGCUGGGAGGAAAAAGUGAGCCCAAAAGUAAAUUUCUGUUUGAGAUAAAAUCUUUUAAUUUCUUCUGUGAGCCUAUUUGGGUCCUUAGUUGAAGACAGGACGUAAAUGCUUGUUUAUUGAAGUGGUGAGAGCACAUGAAGUUGUUGAAAGAAAAAAAGGCCAUGCCCUACCAGGAGAAUCAUAUUCUUCCCUAUUCAGAGAGAGAGGAAUGGCAUAAGUGGCCCUCUUUGGCUCCUUAGAUAAGUACAGUGGUGGACAACUCUGGAGGUAUGGGGGAUAGUGAUCUGGUCAAUGUUGUACUAUGUUGCAUUUUAAAGUUCUAAAUCUAGAUAUAUGAUGGAACCUUGGUUCUUGAACAUAACUUGUUCUGGAAGGCUGUUCAAGAAGUGAUUUGUUUGAAAACCAAAUCAUUUUUUCCCCAUCAGAAAUAAUGCAAGUUGAAUUAAUCCUUUCCAGACUCACAAAUAAUUCCGUUUUAACCUUUCUUAUAUACUGUUUAAUCUAUAAAUAAACACUUCUUUUCUUAAAUUUA